RNAcentral lists this ribosomal RNA (700 nucleotides) under Streptomyces sp. RNAcentral describes it as "bacterial SSU rRNA". It matches the Rfam family "Bacterial small subunit ribosomal RNA", at positions 51 to 766 of the family's 1533-position model. The record is from RNAcentral. Lineage: Bacteria; Bacillati; Actinomycetota; Actinomycetes; Kitasatosporales; Streptomycetaceae.
ACACCUGUCUAGACCUAACGAUGACGCCCUUCGGGGUGGAUUAGUGGUAAACGGGUGAGUAACACGUGGGCAAUCUGCCCUUCACUCUGGGACAAGCCCUGGAAACGGGGUCUAAUACCGGAUAACACCGGCUUCCGCAUGGAGGCUGGUUGAAAGCUCCGGCGGUGAAGGAUGAGCCCGCGGCCUAUCAGCUUGUUGGUGGGGUAAUGGCCCACCAAGGCGACGACGGGUAGCCGGCCUGAGAGGGCGACCGGCCACACUGGGACUGAGACACGGCCCAGACUCCUACGGGAGGCAGCAGUGGGGAAUAUUGCACAAUGGGCGAAAGCCUGAUGCAGCGACGCCGCGUGAGGGAUGACGGCCUUCGGGUUGUAAACCUCUUUCAGCAGGGAAGAAGCGAAAGUGACGGUACCUGCAGAAGAAGCGCCGGCUAACUACGUGCCAGCAGCCGCGGUAAUACGUAGGGCGCAAGCGUUGUCCGGAAUUAUUGGGCGUAAAGAGCUCGUAGGCGGCUUGUCACGUCGGGUGUGAAAGCCCGGGGCUUAACCCCGGGUCUGCAUCCGAUACGGGCAGGCUAGAGUGUGGUAGGGGAGAUCGGAAUUCCUGGUGUAGCGGUGAAAUGCGCAGAUAUCAGGAGGAACACCGGUGGCGAAGGCGGAUCUCUGGGCCAUUACUGACGCUGAGGAGCGAAAGCGUGGGG